AAUGUUUGUUAUGGGUUUUCAUUCUUGAGUCCAUAAAAAGAGGGAAGCAUUUGGAUGACACUAGACUUAAUUUCAAACUGCACAGCAGCAAUGGUAUCAAGUAGUCGAAUACAAGAUGGAGAGGUAUAAAUGGAAGGAGUAAAGUACUCCUUUAACAGCUUGGGUUAUUCUUCAGCCAUCUCGAUAGGUGGAGCAGAUCCUAUGGUUCUAUAGGUGCGGAUUUCGGCUCGAAGGGCCCUAAUAGAACGCUCUAUUUCAAAAUUAAAAGGUAUUAAUUCAGGAGAUCUGGAACGACACCCUAGCAUACACUAAUACUCUUCUGAUCAGUCAAGUACAGUCAAGCAUGCACUAAAAGAAAAACACAUCAAAUCCUUGUACUUGCCCUAAAAUCACUAGACAGCUCCUAACUGGUUUGAAGAGGGCACCUAAGCCUCCAAUCUGGUCUAAUGAACUGAGUUGACCAGGUAAGCUCCCAGGUAAGUGGGGGGGUCACGAUGCAUUCGCAAAGGUCCCACUUGAAAACCACUUGCCUUGAAUAGAUGAACUAUCUCCCUUAUAGGGACA
Molecule: long non-coding RNA, 564 nt
Filed under: Phoenix dactylifera (date palm)
Lineage: Eukaryota; Viridiplantae; Streptophyta; Magnoliopsida; Arecales; Arecaceae
Description: long non-coding RNA (PDAC_LNC016194)
Source: RNAcentral